Molecule: ribosomal RNA, 408 nt
Filed under: uncultured bacterium
Lineage: Bacteria
Description: partial 16S ribosomal RNA
Rfam family: Bacterial small subunit ribosomal RNA
Source: RNAcentral
AGUGAACGCUGGCGGCGUGCCUAAUACAUGCAAGUCGAACGGAGUGGAGCACGGGUGAGUAAUGUAUAGCUAAUCAGCUCUACACUAGAGGACAACAGCUGGAAACAACUGUUAAUACUAUAUAGUGUAGGACGAGGCUAUAUUGUAUCAGCUAGUUGGUGAGGAAAUGGCUCACCAAGGCGAUGACGCAUAACUGGUCUGAGAGGAUGCUCAGUCACCCUCGAACUGAGACACGGGCCGGACACCUACGGGAGUCAGCGGUAGCGAAUUUCGCUCAUUGCGCGUGACCCUGGAGCAGCAUCGCCUCGUGAAGCAUGUCACUUUUCGAAGCAUAUACUCCUUUUGUUAGGGAAGCGGUACCUACCGAAUAAGCACCGGCUAACUCCGUGCCAGCAGCCGCGGUAAUUC